This 618-nucleotide long non-coding RNA is filed under the name Helianthus annuus (common sunflower). Its description in RNAcentral is "sRNA HanXRQr2_Chr13g0565361". The record is from RNAcentral. Lineage: Eukaryota; Viridiplantae; Streptophyta; Magnoliopsida; Asterales; Asteraceae.
UAUAUAUAUAUAUAUUUUUAUUUUCACUAUAAAUAAAGUCAUGUCCGUUUUAAGUAUUAUAACUCCCAAUCACCGCUACCCUUUUCGAUUGAUCUGAACCCCAUAACGCAUGUCAAGGCUCUGCCCGACUAAGUUCGUUUGGAUUCUGUCUCGGGACUUUGGGACAAGGUUAAAUUAGGGGUACUAUACUUAACACGAGUAUAUUAUAUAUAUAUUUUUAGCCCAAAGGUUAUACCCAAAAUUUAUACCAGGAGUCCUUCUAAUUGAACCCUAAAGUUACACAGUGGGUCCAUUCCUUUUCUCACCAUUUUAUUCUCUUUUUGCCAAUGGUUAUUACAAUAGAUUGGAGUAAGGAUUGGAUCCGACACUGAAGGACUUCAAGAAGUGGCUUAUUUUAUUAAUUAAAUCAAUUAAGAAAUAUUGUUUUAUUAAAAGCUACCUUUGUAAAAUAUGGAAUUUAUUCCAUCUUUUUAAAUAAAAUCCGGUGUUUCUAAACUCUGAUAUUUUUCCUAACUCACGGUCCUGAUGAAAUUUCCGCUGCAAUGUUUUUCAAAAUAAUCACCGGUACCACUGGACUGCUCACGGCACCGAUUCCGGCUAGAUGGGGUCGGGGUUCGU